This 440-nucleotide ribosomal RNA is filed under the name uncultured bacterium. RNAcentral's name for it is "partial 16S ribosomal RNA". It matches the Rfam family "Bacterial small subunit ribosomal RNA", at positions 338 to 795 of the family's 1533-position model. The record is from RNAcentral.
CCUACGGGAGGCAGCAGUGGGGGAUAUUGCACAAUGGGGGGAACUCUGAUGCAGCGACGCCGCGUGGGUGAAGAAGCGCCUCGGCGCGUAAAGCCCUGUCAGCAGGGAAGAAAAUGACGGUACCUGAAGAAGAAGCCCCGGCUAACUACGUGCCAGCAGCGGCGGUUAUACGUAGGGGGCAGGCGUUAUCCGGAUUUACUGGGUGUAAUGGGGGCGCAGGCGGCGCUGCAAGCCAGGAGUGCAAGCCCGGGGCGCAACCGCGGGACUGCCCUGGGAACUGGGUGGCUGGAGUGCAGGGGAGGCAGGCGGAAUUCGUGGUGUUGCGGUGAAAUGCGUAGAUAUCAGGAGGAACACCGGUGGCGAAGGCGGCCUGCUGUACUGCAACUGACGUUGAGGCCCGAAAGCGUGGGGAGCAAACAGGAUUAGAUACCCUAGUAGUC